GAUGAAGAACGCAGCGAAAUGCGAUAAGUAAUGUGAAUUGCAGAAUUCAGUGAAUCAUCGAGUCUUUGAACGCACAUUGCGCCCCCUGGUAUUCCGGGGGGCAUGCCUGUCCGAGCGUCAUUGCUGCCCUCAAGCACGGCUUGUGUGUUGGGCCCCCGCCCCCCGGCUUCGGGGGGCGGGCCCGAAAGGCAGCGGCGGCACCGCGUCCGGUCCUCGAGCGUAUGGGGCUUCGUCACCCGCUCUGUAGGCCCGGCCGGCGCCCGCCGGCGACCCCAAUCAAUCUUUCCAGGUUGACCUCGGAUCAAGUAGGGAUACCCGCUGAACUUAAGCAUAUCAAUAAGCGGAGGA
Molecule: unclassified non-coding RNA, 348 nt
Filed under: soil metagenome
Description: partial contains 5.8S ribosomal RNA, internal transcribed spacer 2, and large subunit ribosomal RNA
Rfam family: 5.8S ribosomal RNA (bases 1-120)
Source: RNAcentral